CUUAUCUUGAGGCUCUACCACCAGUCCUCGACCCUCUGUGUGCACAGCCUGGCCACCUUUGAAGCACCUUUAUCUCUUGCUCUUUUAGGCUCUGGCUCUUAGGUUCCCUGGACUUCUCCACACAUCUCCUUCAUCCAGUGUGAUCCUCUCUACGGGUCUCUUCACUGCUGCUCAGCAGCUGCAGAGGUCAAAAGCCUUGCAAAUGGAAGUCACAGAGGGGACGUGAAGGAAGAAAUGAAUACUGCAGACCAGGGGGUGUGUCCUGGGAGGAUGAGGAGGAAGAAAGAUAGGCUAAGAGACCUGCCUGGGAUGGGAUCUAAGGGGACAUUACUACAUCUGCUGAGGGGGUCAUACCUUUGCCGACUGAAAAGUCACUGGUCAGUUCCUACACCCCAGGACUUCUGUGGCCCAGCUCUGCAUAUUAUCAGCGAAGGAUACUAACUAGCAGUGGCACCUAGGUGCUUGGUGGAUGAGCUUCAGAGUUCAGGUGAGUUCAGAGGCUUCUCUAAAUCCUGUUUCAACCUGACAGGCACUGGGCCUGGGGAAGUCACAAAGGAGGUAUCACUUCUUGCUAUGUUUGGCUG
RNAcentral lists this long non-coding RNA (584 nucleotides) under Mus spicilegus (steppe mouse). RNAcentral describes it as "lncRNA (ENSMSIG00000017403.1)". The record is from RNAcentral. Lineage: Eukaryota; Metazoa; Chordata; Mammalia; Rodentia; Muridae.